AUUUAUUUACUCCCUUUUGUUGCCCUUGUUGUUUUAUUGUUGUAGUUAUUAUUGUUGUUGUCGUUGUUGGAUAGGACAGAGAGAAAUGGAGAGAGGAGGAGAGAAAGACAGACACCUGCAGACCUGCUUCACCACCUGUGAAGCGACUCCCCUGCAGGUGGGGAGCCGGGGUUGAACCGGGAGCCUUAUGCCGGUCCUUGUGCUUUGCGCCACCUGCGCUUAGCCCGCUGCGCUACAGCCCGACUCCCUGCCCCAUUAUUUCUACCAGAUCUUUCAGAAGAGCUAGAACAAGCAUCCAAAGGAGAUAGCUUGUGAACUACAGGGAGGUUGUCCAGGAUGCAUCAAAAGCCACCAAGUUGAUGAUGCUACUAUGUUGCCAUCCUGACCUCCCUGGGCAGACCUCACUAAUGUAUUCUGGAACCCUACCUCUCCAGAGCCCAAUCCCACUAGGGAAAGGUAGAAACAGGCUGGGGGUAUGGAUCGACCUGUCAACAUCCCUGUUCACCAGAGAAGUGAUUACAGAAGCCAGACCUUCCACCUUUUGCAUCCCAUAAAGAAUUUUGGUCUAUGCUCCCAGAGAGGGAUGAAGAAUAGGGAAGCUUCCAAUGGAGGGGAUAGGACACGGAACUCUGGUGGUGGGA
Molecule: long non-coding RNA, 641 nt
Organism: Erinaceus europaeus (western European hedgehog)
Lineage: Eukaryota; Metazoa; Chordata; Mammalia; Eulipotyphla; Erinaceidae
Exons: 3
Source: RefSeq, a predicted model, not a curated record